AUCGUGAUGAUAUAAGGGUGGUAAUCUGCCUCCUGACCUUGGUCGUACUUCUGCUGCAGUUGCAUAUCUUCGAAGCAAACGACUUCCUGCUGCUGCCGGUCCCGAAGAACCAAGCCCUCUCCAACAGUACAAUUAUUUCGAUUACCCUUCGACCCGCUCGGUUGUUGUGCAUGUUAACAGCGUGCAUAAACUUCGCGGUUGCACCUGUGCCUGGAGGCGUUGCGCCUUGGAGAAACCUCUUGGCCAUUCUGGACGCCGAUCUAACGUCAUCGCCGCAACCGCCCCAUUUGAAAGAGUUUCUGGCAGACAACGUUCCAAAGGAGACAGAUGUCGCAGUGAAAGAUGAAGGUGAGAUCAAGGCAGAAGGUGAUGGAGGCUCCCUUCGUGGUGGUGUGGCACAGGAACAUGCUGCAAGACUGCCCAGAGCGCAUCCUCUCGCUAACCUCCAAACUGCAGCUGCUGCUGACAUUGCAUACACGAAUGCUUGUUCCCUGGUUCCUAUUAUAAGAAAACGAAACAUUUUCCUUAAAUUUUUCAUUUCUUUUUUACUUUUUAUUAUUACAUUAAGUUAAUGAAGUAUAAUUUUUUAAUUAUUUGAAUAAAAAAAAUGAAAUUAAA
Apis cerana (Asiatic honeybee) is the source of this 618-nucleotide long non-coding RNA. RefSeq lists it as uncharacterized. Lineage: Eukaryota; Metazoa; Arthropoda; Insecta; Hymenoptera; Apidae. The record is from RefSeq and is a predicted model, not a curated record.